Molecule: ribosomal RNA, 417 nt
Filed under: Triticum aestivum (bread wheat)
Lineage: Eukaryota; Viridiplantae; Streptophyta; Magnoliopsida; Poales; Poaceae
Description: partial small subunit ribosomal RNA
Source: RNAcentral
AUGGAGACGAUUGAGGCACGGGUCGGAGAGCAGUUGCAGAUGCUACAAAACGUGGGUGACAAGCUGAGUAAGCUCGAUGAUCUCUUUCGUCGAUUGGAUUCUUUGGAUCAGCAGUUUGCAGCGCAAGCCGAGCAGAUGCACAUUGUACAGAACAACGUCAGUCUCACGAUGAAGUCAAUCGGAGAAAUCAGACAGCAGCAGGCAGUGGCUGCUCAGGAAGUGGGUUCCAAACAAUCCCCUCAGGGUUCGUUUGCAGGUGAUGGAAUCCUUGGUACGCCACCACAGCAGCAAUGUCCACCAGUUACACCAGUUCCACCACCGGUGUUUGUACCUCAGCCUGUACAUCACGAAGCAUUCUGGGGUAGAAGUUCAGUUGAAGAAACUGUGGAUGCCCAAAAUGGAUUUUCCCCGUUUUGA